CAAGGGUCAGGGGGUGCAGGAGAGGAUGUAUUCGCCAGCUGCAUGCGGGAAAACUUAAAAGAGAAAGCUAAGGGCGGGGGUCUUUCACAUCCAGGGAAUUGAUCUCAGGUCAUCAGACUUUGUGAUUUCCAGGAGAUAUGCAAUCAAGAGCAAGGGAGGAAUCACCCGGCAGCCUAAUACAACACCAGGAACACUCCAUCUGGGAAGCGUAACUGGUGGCUUUACCAGAAGCGGCUGAACACCUGUAGGAGUCUCAGACUGCAAAUCAGCUUGUCUGCUUGUAGACGGCGGCUGCCUGGAGCUGGCCUUACCACCAUCAGUGCGACCGCACCUGCGCCCCACCCUCCCAGGACCGGUGGAAAACAACCAAGUAGGACUGAGGAAGAGACCAAGGACCGCAACACGGGCGUGGCCUACAGCAUCCGCCUCCAAGUACA
RNAcentral lists this long non-coding RNA (437 nucleotides) under Cricetulus griseus (Chinese hamster). Its description in RNAcentral is "lncRNA (ENSCGRG00015039157.1)". The record is from RNAcentral. Lineage: Eukaryota; Metazoa; Chordata; Mammalia; Rodentia; Cricetidae.